This is a non-coding RNA of Schistosoma haematobium, 45 nucleotides long. The record is from Rfam. Lineage: Eukaryota; Metazoa; Platyhelminthes; Trematoda; Strigeidida; Schistosomatidae.
GUCUAGCUGAAGAGUCCCAAAUAGGAUGAAACGUGUAUCCUGGAU